This 502-nucleotide ribosomal RNA is filed under the name uncultured bacterium. RNAcentral describes it as "bacterial SSU rRNA". It matches the Rfam family "Bacterial small subunit ribosomal RNA", at positions 15 to 507 of the family's 1533-position model. The record is from RNAcentral.
GAUCAUGGCUCAGGAUGAACGCUAGCUACAGGCUUAACACAUGCAAGUCGAGGGGCAGCAUCAUCAAAGCUUGCUUUGAUGGAUGGCGACCGGCGCACGGGUGAGUAACACGUAUCCAACCUGCCGACAACACUGGGAUAGCCUUUCGAAAGAAAGAUUAAUACCGGAUGGCAUAGUUUUCCCGCAUGGGAUAAUUAUUAAAGAAUUUCGGUUGUCGAUGGGGAUGCGUUCCAUUAGGCAGUUGGCGGGGUAACGGCCCACCAAACCAACGAUGGAUAGGGGUUCUGAGAGGAAGGUCCCCCACAUUGGAACUGAGACACGGUCCAAACUCCUACGGGAGGCAGCAGUGAGGAAUAUUGGUCAAUGGACGAGAGUCUGAACCAGCCAAGUAGCGUGAAGGAUGACUGCCCUAUGGGUUGUAAACUUCUUUUAUACGGGAAUAAAGUUAGCCACGUGUGGCUUUUUGUAUGUACCGUAUGAAUAAGGAUCGGCUAACUCCGUG